RNAcentral lists this ribosomal RNA (253 nucleotides) under uncultured bacterium. RNAcentral's name for it is "partial 16S ribosomal RNA". It matches the Rfam family "Bacterial small subunit ribosomal RNA", at positions 524 to 776 of the family's 1533-position model. The record is from RNAcentral.
UACGUAGGGUGCGAGCGUUAAUCGGAAUUACUGGGCGUAAAGCGUGCGCAGGCGGUUAUGCAAGACAGAUGUGAAAUCCCCGGGCUCAACCUGGGAACUGCAUUUGUGACUGCAUAGCUAGAGUACGGUAGAGGGGGAUGGAAUUCCGCGUGUAGCAGUGAAAUGUGUAGAUAUUCGGAAGAACACCAGAGGCGAAGGCAGCGGGUUGGCGCUUUAUUGACGCUCAGGCACGAAAGCAUGGGGAUCAAACAGG